This 439-nucleotide ribosomal RNA is filed under the name uncultured bacterium. RNAcentral's name for it is "partial 16S ribosomal RNA". It matches the Rfam family "Bacterial small subunit ribosomal RNA", at positions 339 to 795 of the family's 1533-position model. The record is from RNAcentral.
CUACGGGAGGCAGCAGUGGGGAAUAUUGGACAAUGGGCGCAAGCCUGAUCCAGCCAUGCCGCGUGAGUGAUGAAGGCCUUAGGGUUGUAAAGCUCUUUUGUCCGGGACGAUAAUGACGGUACCGGAAGAAUAAGCCCCGGCUAACUUCGUGCCAGCAGCCGCGGUAAUACGAAGGGGGCUAGCGUUGCUCGGAAUCACUGGGCGUAAAGGGCGCGUAGGCGGCCGAUUAAGUCGGGGGUGAAAGCCUGUGGCUCAACCACAGAAUUGCCUUCGAUACUGGUUGGCUUGAGGCCGGAAGAGGACAACGGAACUGCGAGUGUAGAGGUGAAAUUCGUAGAUAUUCGCAAGAACACCAGUGGCGAAGGCGGCUGUCUGGUCCGGUUCUGACGCUGAGGCGCGAAAGCGUGGGGAGCAAACAGGAUUAGAUACCCGAGUAGUC